CCUACGGGUGGCAGCAGUGAGGAAUAUUGGUCAAUGGGCGGAAGCCUGAACCAGCCAAGUAGCGUGCGGGAGGAAGGCGCUACGGGUCGUAAACCGCUUUUGCACGGGGAUAACAGCCCCCACUUGUGGGGUUCUGCAGGUGCCGUGCGAACAAGGGUCGGCUAAUUCCGGUCCAGCGGCCGCGGUAAUACGGAGAGCACGCGCGUUAUCCGGAUGCAUUGGGCUUAAAGGGGGCGUAGGCGGGCGUGCAAGUCAGCGGUAAAAUGGCGCGGCUCAACCACGCCCAGCCGUUGAAACUGGGCGCUUUGAGUGCGCCGCAGGCAGGCGGAAUUCGUGGUGUAGCGGUGAAAUGCAUAGAU
RNAcentral lists this ribosomal RNA (359 nucleotides) under uncultured bacterium. RNAcentral's name for it is "partial 16S ribosomal RNA". It matches the Rfam family "Bacterial small subunit ribosomal RNA", at positions 338 to 695 of the family's 1533-position model. The record is from RNAcentral.